RNAcentral lists this long non-coding RNA (1174 nucleotides) under Homo sapiens (human). RNAcentral's name for it is "non-protein coding lnc-TP53BP2-8:11". The record is from RNAcentral. Lineage: Eukaryota; Metazoa; Chordata; Mammalia; Primates; Hominidae.
CCCUGUCACCCAGGCUUGAGUACAGUAGUGCUAUCACAGCUCACUGCAGCCUUGAACUCCUGGGCUAAGGAUCCUCCUACCUGAGCCUCCUGAGUAGCUAGGACUACAGGGUCUCCCUCUGUUGUCCAAGGCUGGAGUGUAGUAGUGCUAUCACAGCUGACUGCAGCCUCAACCUUCUAGGCUGAAGCGAUCCUCCCAUCUCAACCUCCCACGUGGCUGAGACUACAGGUGCUUGCCACUAUGCCCAACUAAUAUUUGGAAUUUUCGUAUACGUGGAUUCCAGAGGGGUGACAGCGAAAUCUCCUACCUCCCGGCAGCCUCUCCAGGCCCAGAACUUUCUCCAGUCAGCCUCUACAGACCAAGCUCAUGACUCACAAUGGCCUAUUUAGGCCCAUACCCUACCUCACGGCAGUCUCCGCAGAUGAGCCUACUGCCUCACAACAGCCUCCACAGGCACAGCUCCAUCGUUACAAUGGCCUCUUUAGACCCAGCUCCUGCCUCCCAGCCUUCUCUCCAGGCCCUGAACUUUCUCAAGUCGACCUCACCAGGCCCAGCUCAUGCUUCUUUGCAGCCUCUCCAGGCCCAACUCCUGCAUCUUGGUGGCCCCUCCAGGCCCAGCCUGUGCCUCCCGUCGGCCUCUACAAUCCCAACAUCUGCCUCACAGCAGAUUCUUCACGCCCAGCCUCUGCCUCACAGUGGACCCUCCAGACCCAGAUGGUGUCUCACUGUGGCAUCCUCAGGCGAAGCUCCUGCCUUUCAGCAGCCUCUCCAGGCCCAGCUCCUCCUGCCUCCCAGUGGCCUCUUUCGGCCCAGCCCAGCUCAUGCCUCCCGGCGGCCUUCCCAAGCCCCGCUUUUGACUUUUGGUGGCCUCUGCAGGCCUCGACAAGGCCCAGCCUCCUGCCUCCCGAAGGCCUGCACAGGCCCAGCCUCUGCCUCACAGCGGACUCUCCACGCCCAGCUAGCUCUCGCCUCACUGCGGCCUCCCCAGUCCAAAGCUCCUGCCUUUCGGCCACUUCGGCAGGUCCAGCUACUGCCUGCCAGUGGCCUCUUUAGGCCCAGCUCAUUCCUCACAACGGCCUUUCCAGGCCCCGUUUUUCCCUUCCGGCAGCCUCUUGGCUUCUAAUUUGUUUAUCUUUUGUGUAUAAAUCCCAAAAUAUGGAAUUUUGGAAUAUUU